Molecule: ribosomal RNA, 361 nt
Filed under: uncultured bacterium
Lineage: Bacteria
Description: bacterial SSU rRNA
Rfam family: Bacterial small subunit ribosomal RNA
Source: RNAcentral
AUUGAACGCUGGCGGCAGGCCUAACACAUGCAAGUCGAGCGGAUGAGUGGAGCUUGCUCCAUGAUUCAGCGGCGGACGGGUGAGUAAUGCCUAGGAAUCUGCCUGGUAGUGGGGGACAACGUUUCGAAAGGAACGCUAAUACCGCAUACGUCCUACGGGAGAAAGCAGGGGACCUUCGGGCCUUGCGCUAUCAGAUGAGCCUAGGUCGGAUUAGCUAGUAGGUGAGGUAAUGGCUCACCUAGGCGACGAUCCGUAACUGGUCUGAGAGGAUGAUCAGUCACACUGGAACUGAGACACGGUCCAGACUCCUACGGGAGGCAGCAGUGGGGAAUAUUGGACAAUGGGCGAAGCCUGAUCCAGC